RNAcentral lists this ribosomal RNA (886 nucleotides) under Sanguinoderma rugosum. Its description in RNAcentral is "partial 28S ribosomal RNA". It matches the Rfam family "Eukaryotic large subunit ribosomal RNA", at positions 77 to 950 of the family's 3401-position model. Lineage: Eukaryota; Fungi; Basidiomycota; Agaricomycetes; Polyporales; Polyporaceae. The record is from RNAcentral.
CCCCUAGUAACUGCGAGUGAAGCGGGAAAAGCUCAAAUUUAAAAUCUGGCGGUCUUUGGUCGUCCGAGUUGUAGUCUGGAGAAGUGCUUUCCGCGCUGGACCGUGUAUAAGUCUCUUGGAACAGAGCGUCAUAGAGGGUGAGAAUCCCGUCUUUGACACGGACUACCAGUGCUUUGUGAUGCGCUCUCAAAGAGUCGAGUUGUUUGGGAAUGCAGCUCAAAAUGGGUGGUGAAUUCCAUCUAAAGCUAAAUAUUGGCGAGAGACCGAUAGCGAACAAGUACCGUGAGGGAAAGAUGAAAAGCACUUUGGAAAGAGAGUUAAACAGUACGUGAAAUUGCUGAAAGGGAAACGCUUGAAGUCAGUCGCGUUGUCUGGGACUCAGCCUUGCUUUUGCUUGGUGCACUUUCCGGAUGACGGGCCAGCAUCGAUUUUGACCGUCGGAAAAGGGCUAGGGUAAUGUGGCACCUCCGGGUGUGUUAUAGACUUUAGUCGCAUACGGCGGUCGGGAUCGAGGAACGCAGCGCGCCGUAAGGCAGGGGUUCGCCCACUUUCGCGCUUAGGAUGCUGGCGUAAUGGCUUUAAACGACCCGUCUUGAAACACGGACCAAGGAGUCUAACAUACCUGCGAGUGUUUGGGUGGAAAACCCGAGCGCGUAAUGAAAGUGAAAGUUGAGACCUCUGUCGUGGAGGGCAUCGACGCCCGGACCUGACGUUCUCUGACGGAUCCGCGGUAGAGCAUGUAUGUUGGGACCCGAAAGAUGGUGAACUAUGCCUGAAUAGGGUGAAGCCAGAGGAAACUCUGGUGGAGGCUCGUAGCGAUUCUGACGUGCAAAUCGAUCGUCAAAUUUGGGUAUAGGGGCGAAAGACUAAUCGAACCAUCUAGUAG